This 301-nucleotide ribosomal RNA is filed under the name uncultured bacterium. RNAcentral's name for it is "partial 16S ribosomal RNA". It matches the Rfam family "Bacterial small subunit ribosomal RNA", at positions 509 to 807 of the family's 1533-position model. The record is from RNAcentral.
CAGCAGCCACGGGAAUACGAACCGUGCGAACGUUAUUCGGAAUCACUGGGCUUAAAGCGCGUGUAGGCGGGCCGUCACGUCGGCUGCUGAAAUCCCCCGGCUCAACCGGGGAAGUGGCACCGAUACGAGCGGCCUUGAGGGGGGUAGGGGGGUCUGGAACUUCCGGUGGAGCGGUGAAAUGCGUUGAGAUCGGAAGGAACGCCCGUGGCGAAAGCGAGGCCCUGGACCCUUUCUGACGCUGAGACGCGAAAGCCAGGGGAGCGAACGGGAUUAGAUACCCCGGUAGUCCCUGUCUCUUAUU